This is a long non-coding RNA of Canis lupus familiaris (dog), 3611 nucleotides long. RefSeq lists it as uncharacterized. The record is from RefSeq and is a predicted model, not a curated record. Lineage: Eukaryota; Metazoa; Chordata; Mammalia; Carnivora; Canidae. The transcript is spliced from 6 exons.
UCAGUCCCACAAACCUGAAAUCACAACCCAAGCUGAAACCAAGAGUCAGACACCCAACUGAUUGAGCCACCCAGGCAUCCCUAAAGUCAGGUGCUUUUAAUAAUUUAAAAAUAAUACCUACAUGCCAGGACUGUGAAAAUUAAGCAAGACAUAGUAAAAGUACUUAGGUUGUAAAGGGACUUAAUACAUGGUUACUCCUCUCUCCAUUUGCUGCUCAAGCCCCGCUCCUUGGCUAAGGGAAGGCAAACAAGAAAUGUAAAGCCCUUUCCACAGGGAAGUGAAGCAGCUGAGACGUGUUAGAGGUGAGGAAUGCCAGAACAGGCUUUAUAUACCUCAUCACCCUCCCACCCUGCACAAACACCACCAGCAUUAAUCAUUCUGCUGUUUUGCUCUUCACUGGGCAUUUCUUUGAUUCAUAUUUUAGAGAAUACAAAUUCUCUGGGACAGGAAACACAUUAAGCAUUUUAAGUAUGUGAAUUGAAUGAAAUUCUUCAGUCCUAUCCCAAGAGAAACCUCAAUAAAAGCAAGGGAGCGAAAAGGGACCUGGUGGCAGGAAAGGGGGAGGAGCAGGGCAGGUACAGAAAGGAGACCUUGAGCUGGGGCCAAGGAACAUGCAGACCCAACAGCUGUGCCGAGGGAUAGCUGUUACAGGUGCAUUCUUAAGAUUCUAGGCUGUUCAUUGAGGGUGGUUAUCCCUAUCACCAUAGCCAAACAGCACACCCGGAGGUCCCCUGGGACCAUCCAGCACUGGGCCAGUGAAAGAGGUGGAGAAUCCAGCGCAUGCUUUCUUCAUAAUAACAAAGUGUUGGAAACAACCCAAAUGUCUCUCAAUAGAAGAUCAGAUAAACUGGUCAGAAAUACUAUCACUCAGCAUAAAAAGAAACAAACUACUGAUUUAUUCAACAACCCGAGUCUGGAAAAAAUUAUAUUGCGUAAAAGAAGCCAGAUGCAAAAGAGUACACGCUGUACCACUCAUGGAGUUCAAGAACUGAGGAAAGUAAACUAUGGGGAUUAAAAUCUGAGCAGUGUUUCCUUCUGAGAGUUAAUGGUGUGAUUCACAACCACCUCCUAAACUUUCCUGGUGUAAUCUGAAACCAGCCCGCAUAUGCAGAGGGCGGGGAGAGGCUGAAGAAAGAAGCAGGCCACCCCAGCGUGGAAUUCGAGUGUACCAUCCCUCCCCCUGAGCAUGGAACUUCUCUGACGAAAGCGUAUGGCAAAACGGAUGCUGUGUCACUUUUGAAGCAGGCUAAUAAAAGGUCACGCCGCUUCUGUCUUAUUCUUUGGAACAUUCAUGCUCAGAGCCCUGGGCUGCCAUGUAGUGAUGACCAAAACAUAUUCUUCAUCCGUGGCUCCUGGCUCACAGCUCCUAGGACCCUUGGAAUUUCCUGAGCAAUAAGAGCAGUGGGACAAUCUUUUGUUACAACAUUUGCUCUCUCGUCUUCAGUUCCCGAAAUCACUCCCGAGCCAUAAAGGUGGCAGAAGGGGAGGCAAUGGCGAGGAGGUCUGGUGAAAGGAAGUCAGUACAGAGCACUGCAGAGAGCAAGAUGGAGUCACUCGUGUCAAGCAGUGGCCUGUGUGGAGCAAUGGUGCAGGCCGCGCAGGGCAUUGCAGCUCAGACCAGAUACCUAGACGGGCCACAGCUGAGGACGCACCGGAACUGAUAACCAGUAGAAACAGAGGCGGUCUGCAAGGGCCCAACACUGACCAAAUCCCUGUUAAAAAAGAAGAUUUUUCCAGCAAACGGUCAGACUCUCUAGACACUGACUCCUCUAUGUCUGACCACUUAAAAAAGGCAGCAGCUGCCAAAGGCUCUGCCCAAUAGGUCUCGGAGAGAACCGAGAUCCUUCACGGCUUGAACACAAUGAGCAGUAAGUGCGGAGAGCUGACCUGGACCAGACAGAGGCCUUAUCUGAGGCCUUAUCUCAGGGGCGGCUCAGACUGACUUCACUUUUGGUUCAUUAAUUUCCAACCCCUGUUCUAUCUUGUUUGUUGUGUGACUUGCCUUGAGCCUUGCGUGACAUUUUUUUUUUUUUUUUUAAAGGAGGCUCCACACCCAUCACAGGGCUUCAACUCAUCUGGGAUCAAGAGUCAAACACUUGGGGCGCCUGGGUGGCUCGGUUGGUUGAGUGGCUGCCUUCAGCUCAGGACAUGAUCUCUGUGGGUCCUGGGAUCGAGCCUCUCAUUGGGCUCCCUGCUUAGUGGGGAGUCUGCUUCUCCUUCUCCCUCUGCUCCCUACCCCCCCACCUCUGCCACUUGCACACAAGCUUGCUUUCUUUCUCUCAGGUGAAUAAUGAAUGAAUAAAAUCUUAAAAGAGAGAGACUUAACCAAAUGAGCCACCCAGGUACCCCUCUUUGUGUUAAGAAAGAAGCCAAGUUAAACAUGUGGUGAGAUGUCCUUGGGUUUGGAAUCCUGACUCUGCUUUACAGUCAUGUUAACCUGCCUUUAUGACUGAACAAAACUGACAUGCGGAAAUGAUGCAGCGCAUAUGUGCUCAUGACAAGCGUUGGUGAUCAUGGCAACUUUCGGUUUUGGAAUUCUGGGCUCUGAUUUUACUGGCUGUGUGCCUUGGGCAGAUUAUUUUUAAUCUUUACCCCUCUGCUUUCUAAAAUAUUAGGAUAAUAAUGUAAACUGUAGUGCUGCUGCGGGAAUCCAAUGGAUUUAAUAUUAGGAAAGUCUCAAGACCAGUGCCUGGCACAUAGUAAGUCCUCAAAUGUUAAUUCUUCCUCCUUCUCCCAUCCCCUUCUUCUUCUCUUCUUCCUCCUCCUUCUUCUAGACUGGUGUGUGUCUCUGAGAUUGGGGCCUGUGUCCUGUACUUCUCCUCUGCCAAUGAUCUGGAGAAUCAGAGAAGAGAAAAGCCUUGCACCAGCCUCCUGGAAGGGAAGUCCCAGAGAUUCCUUCAUGCCCAAUAUGAGGACAUAUGGGAUAUGUAGGCAGAUAGGCCUGAGAUGACCUUCAAGUUCUCUUUGCCUGAGUUCAGGAAGACCCAGAUGCUCCCAGGAGCCCAUAUAAGAUGUAGAAGUAGGAGAAGAUGUGUGUGUUGGGUGAGGAAAGACCGAGUGGUAACUGUACCUAAGAGCCCUUUGGUCAGAAAGAGGAGAGGAGUUUGCAGCCAGGCAGAAAUGAGGAUAUUUCAGUUAAUGGCAGCCUGAGCCAACAGCAGCUGAAGACCAGGUUGGGACCCUCACAGGCACUGGGCACAGCGUGAUUGCUUAACCACAGGGAAGGGGUAGGUACGACACUGCAAUUCUGACACUAACUACCUGCAGUUAGCACAGACUUUACAAGAGGCCAGUCUCCCAACAAGACUACCCUCAUUUCAGAUGCCAUCUGCUACAUUGGGGGUCCCCGAGCCACCUAUGCUUCUGAUCAACUGGCUACAAAGCCAAGGGUUCCCACAACCCUAUGAGAUUUGAUAAUUCACUAGGAAGACUCACAGAACUGGGGAAAGUUCUAUACAUAAAAUUACAGUUUUAGGGGUCCCCUCACUGGCUCAGUGAUUUAGCACCUGCCUUCAGCCCAGGGUGUGACCCUGGAGUCCUGGGAUCGAGUCCCACAUCGGGCUCCCUGCAUGGAGCCUGCUUCUCCCUCUGCCUGUGUCUCUGCCUCUCUC